UUUAAUAUGGCAGAUAAAGUGCAUUAGAUUUAAACUCUAAAUAUAAAGAAUAAAAUCUUUUAUUAAAA
Molecule: transfer RNA, 68 nt
Filed under: Cephalonomia gallicola
Lineage: Eukaryota; Metazoa; Arthropoda; Insecta; Hymenoptera; Bethylidae
Description: tRNA-Leu
Rfam family: tRNA
About the family: Transfer RNA (tRNA) molecules are approximately 80 nucleotides in length. Their secondary structure includes four short double-helical elements and three loops (D, anti-codon, and T loops).
Source: RNAcentral